CUUCAAAUCGGAUCCGAGUCGGGUUCGGGUUCGAAUCGGAUCCAUUUCUUUUGAGCCUUUGGAAAAUAAUUUUUGGCAAAUCUAAAUUUGCCAUAAGGUGCUGGGUGACCCAUGACUUGAAAGAAUUGCACUUGACCUCUAGCCAGAAUAGAUGACCCGUCCGUCUACAAGCAAAAUUUCAUAUCAUACUAUAUGACUAAUCGGAUGGAACUUGAUGUCUCCCAUAUCCUCC
Molecule: long non-coding RNA, 232 nt
Filed under: Phoenix dactylifera (date palm)
Lineage: Eukaryota; Viridiplantae; Streptophyta; Magnoliopsida; Arecales; Arecaceae
Description: long non-coding RNA (PDAC_LNC000173)
Source: RNAcentral